This 723-nucleotide ribosomal RNA is filed under the name Salmonella enterica. RNAcentral describes it as "partial 23S ribosomal RNA". It matches the Rfam family "Bacterial large subunit ribosomal RNA", at positions 137 to 901 of the family's 2925-position model. Lineage: Bacteria; Pseudomonadati; Pseudomonadota; Gammaproteobacteria; Enterobacterales; Enterobacteriaceae. The record is from RNAcentral.
GACUCGUCACACUAUCAUUAACUGAAUCCAUAGGUUAAUGAGGCGAACCGGGGGAACUGAAACAUCUAAGUACCCCGAGGAAAAGAAAUCAACCGAGAUUCCCCCAGUAGCGGCGAGCGAACGGGGAGGAGCCCAGAGCCUGAAUCAGCAUGUGUGUUAGUGGAAGCGUCUGGAAAGGCGCGCGAUACAGGGUGACAGCCCCGUACACAAAAGCGCAUGUGCUGUGAGCUCGAUGAGUAGGGCGGGACACGUGGUAUCCUGUCUGAAUAUGGGGGGACCAUCCUCCAAGGCUAAAUACUCCUGACUGACCGAUAGUGAACCAGUACCGUGAGGGAAAGGCGAAAAGAACCCCGGCGAGGGGAGUGAAAAAGAACCUGAAACCGUGUACGUACAAGCAGUGGGAGCACCCUUUGGGGUGUGACUGCGUACCUUUUGUAUAAUGGGUCAGCGACUUAUAUUCUGUAGCAAGGUUAACCGUAUAGGGGAGCCGGAGGGAAACCGAGUCUUAACCGGGCGUUAAGUUGCAGGGUAUAGACCCGAAACCCGGUGAUCUAGCCAUGGGCAGGUUGAAGGUUGGGUAACACUAACUGGAGGACCGAACCGACUAAUGUUGAAAAAUUAGCGGAUGACCUGUGGCUGGGGGUGAAAGGCCAAUCAAACCGGGAGAUAGCUGGUUCUCCCCGAAAGCUAUUUAGGUAGCGCCUCGUGAACUCAUCUCCGGGG